This 3432-nucleotide long non-coding RNA is filed under the name Gallus gallus (chicken). Lineage: Eukaryota; Metazoa; Chordata; Aves; Galliformes; Phasianidae. The record is from RNAcentral.
AGUUAUUAAAAUAAUAAGAUUGGAACUCACAGUGCAAAUUAAUCUGCCCAGUACUGCAAUAUUGUUGGAUGAAACUAAAGACUGUUGUAAAUAACAUAUUUCACAGCCUUUAAACUCGACACUGAGGAUGACACUUCAGGUUGGAUCACAAAGACUUUGUAGUGGCCCCCAGAAAGUUAUCCAAGGAAAAAAAAAUUACAAAGGAUUUUAAAUGUAUAGAUCUGGCACGCUGCAAAGUUUGAGAAUCUUGAUGAAUUUGGCUCAGAUCCUAGGAGUACAGCCCCAAGUAAAACUCAACACACCUUCAUGUUCCACAUUGUGAUGCUUUUUGGUCCAGAAGCACUGCAGUGAAUGGAAGGGCCUCUCACAGUCAAACUCCAUGGCGCCAAAAUUAAAACCAGCGUUAAGGAUGAAACCGGCAAUAAGGAAAGCAUCACCAGAUUUCUUUACAUUACUUAUUGCAGGACAGAAUUAUUUGAGCAGUAAUGCUUCCAGGACCUUUUGAUUCACCGGACAGAGACCAAUCCAAAACGCAUAAUGCCAGGGAAAAUAUAGAGUUAUACUCUGAAGGAUUUGGAAAAGACUAUUUAGCAAUCACAGCAGCACUUUGGCACUUGUGCGAGAGCGUUGCACGCCUGUGCGAGCACAACCUCGCGUCUCUUCCGUUGGACUUGACUUUGUCUGUAUUUGCAUCCAGCUGUCUUCCUGCACGAUAACCAGAACACCGGAAAUUUGCUGAGGAUGACACACACAAUCAAUGAGGAGAUUUUAGUCAUUGCAUCAAAUUAGCAAAUUCUCAAUCCUGACUAAGAUACAGCUAGAAAACGAGCUGCCAGCAACACCCUCUGAAGCAGAUGGUUCCCACCACUUGGAAUGCUCCUUUCUGUGCACUUCAGCAGCUCCUGAAAUAACAGAGUGCUGCAGAACGGAGAAGGAAGAUGACUGGAAAGUGAGACUCUUUCUUGUGGUUUGGUCAGUCCUCCUCUGCCCUCUUGAGAAAAUUCACUGGCAAGUCAUUACUAAUGACACACCUAUAUCUUGCCGAGUGCUGCUUUACAGGCACCUACUGGGCAUUUUUCACCUUGUUUAUCUGAAGGUCAAAAAAAAGAAGCAUGCCAUAAAGCACAGACUACCUGCAGAUUGUGGAAUAAUUGGAGUGCUAGAUGGAAAAGAAUAUAUUGAACAAAUUGUCCAAUAAAAUAAAUUACUUCUAUAAUGCAUCUCAAAACAUGUUAGAAAGUUAGGAAUUAUGAGCUAUAUCACACUGUGAAUUGGGUGUGUAUUUUUAAUAGUUCAGAUAAUUAACACAGGGCACUAUUCGCCAUGAGUUGUGGAAGGCUAUUGGUCACAUGAUGUUUAAAAAAUUAAGAUCUCGUAGCAUUCUAAAAUCAGGCUUUCUUUAAGUCAGGAACUAUUUAGAUUGGUGCAGGAGUAGUGAAAUGAAAUGCUAGAGAUUUUGCUCUGCAGGAUGUCAAAUUAGAUUAUCCAACCUUUAAAGCUAUAAAUACAUGAAUUAUUACACUUUUUUUACAAAUGAGAAAACUGAGGCAUAGACAAUAUCAAAGGGCUUUAUAAAUGUGAAUGACUCAAUAACAUUCUGCUAUUGUUUAUUAUCCAUAUUCCUGUUUUUAAAUGACAGAAUGGAGGCACAUAGAAAUGAAAUGACUAUCUAAAGUCACACCAGUCUCCUUCUUUAACCUGGUAAAUGGGUAAGUAGGCAUGCCAUUUUGACAUACUAAUAUAUGUGUUAAGGUAUUAAUUUCCCAUACUUCUUGAAUAUAUGGAUCAUUGGGGAGCAGUUUCUGUUGAAAACAGCAACAGUCAUGUUUUUCUCACUUCAAACUUCUUUUCCUAUUGUGAGUCUUCUAUUUAGCUGGAAGAAGUUCUUAGUUUUGUCUUAGCUUGGCAAGAAGAAAGUAUAAGAAAAUGGAGUAAUUUAGAUGACAGAAAACAGGGAUUUAAGGCUGGAAUGCACAGCAAUCAGAGCUCGGGGAGUGGGAUGCCAUUCAGACACACACUGGACUACAGAAUAUCAGUGGCAAAUUCCUCCCAAUCCAUUCAGGGUGGACUAUUUCGGGUGAAAAAUUAAUCAACAGUGUUUCAAGGUAUUUAGGAGGGCAAAGAAGCAAUGUCUUUCCUUUAUGGCUACACUGCAGUGAUCAGUGCCUCUGCAGGUGUGUAAUUUAAAGAGGUGCUAGGAAAAAGAUGAACAUAAACAGAAAGGAUACAGGGUGUACGCGAAGGUUACUGUAGAGGUUGCAGCUGAAUGACUGCAGGGCUACAUAACCCAGCCUCAGAUAAUACUCAAGUUUAUUUGCCUUGAUCUGAACUCUGCUUAGAGCCAGGACAGAAUGAUGAGAGGUUAGCAGGGUGAUGCCACACAGAACAAAAUAACCUGCAGAGAGAAGUUUCUUACACAAUGAGACAUGGCAGUCCGAGUCCCUACCGCUGUGGAUCACUGCAACACCACAUGUAUUUGUAGAAACUCCAUGCAUUUUACCAUGCGGCUGCAAUACAGCUGAAUACUGCAGCUCUUUGACCAGCCCCAGUAGCACCAAACUCAGGCCUCACGUCCCAGUAACCACACAGCCACUCGGUCAGUCUGGCUCAGAAACAAUUAAAAAAGAAAGAUUCUUAAUGACAUUGACCUCUGCCAGAAAGCAAAGUCUUCCUUCAUCUGUUUGUCUCUCUACUACUACUAAUAGUCAGAGAUAUACCAAAAAAGAGAAGUGGCUGACUUAUCAACAUUAUUUUCCUUGUUCUUGAUCUAGGUCAUCAAGUAGAUUAAUAUGUAGUUGCAAGCUGUUCAUUCAUUGUAGAGGAGCAUGUACAUAGCAGGAAAUAUCUCCCAUGGCGCUGAUAAACUCUCAGAGGCUAUAGGCCAAGGUGUUUAUGCUCCAAUGGAGACAUUUGUGCCAAGUACCUGCUCCCAGUGAUAUAGUUAUAAGCAUUAAACUCGAAAUGUAACUUUAAAAAUCUAUUACGGUAUAUGGCUUUUAUUAUUUCCAAGACGGACAACUGUGUUGGUUAUUAUCAAUAUGUUGUGAAAGAAGCUUUGACGCCUGGGAUUUGAGGCAGGGGGAUGGGGGAGAGGCAUGCAGGAACAUUUAGGCCAAAUAUUAACAAACUGAUUAAGCCUUACAAAAACGUUGGAGAGAAAUGUUUCCCUUUUCUUUCCAGCCCCAGCUUUCAGAAUGCACCCAGAAAGAAGAGUGCCAGAUAACCAUGUAACUGAUAGCAUCUAACCACCUGCUUGCCAAGCUCCCUCUUUCCCAGUCUCUCCAUUUCAAGGAUCUUCCCAGUAUUCCUAAAAUCCUCCUGAUUACUUUAUGUCUUGUCCACGUGAUCUCCCCACAGUGGGAAGGACUUACUGAUUUACCCCAUCCAUCACUAUCUCUGAAUCGACUCUACCUACUACUAUCCAAUUGUGCC